This is a long non-coding RNA of Camelus dromedarius (Arabian camel), 586 nucleotides long. RefSeq lists it as uncharacterized. The transcript has 3 exons. The record is from RefSeq and is a predicted model, not a curated record. Lineage: Eukaryota; Metazoa; Chordata; Mammalia; Artiodactyla; Camelidae.
AGCUCUUUCCAAGAUCAAAUGUGGCCGAGCAGAGAGGAGAGGAGGAAACGCAAACGCAGGUGGUUCCUCGCUUCCAGCUUUAAGGGGAGCAUGUUGCUAAGGAUGCAGUUCUGAGCGUUUGAGACAGCGAAGCAUCUGCGAAGAGUCCGAUUGCUCCUAGAAAGUGCUAGGGAUCCUCCGCGCUGCGGGCAGGUCUCCGUGCUACGGCGUUGGCUGCUCCGCUUUGACCAGAGGAAGACGGUGGAGGAGAAGACAGCCCUACCUUAUUCGCCCGCGGGGCUGCGGGGCACCUGUGCGCCUCGGCCCCGCUUCCUUUGUUUCUCCUGCACUCCGCAGCCCCUGCGCCCAUGGCCGGCCUCCGUGGCAGCUGGGCACCAGGCAGCCCAGCGGGCUGGCUGCUUGGCGUUUCCAGAGCUGCUGCCGCUAGAAGCUCCAGCUGCCUUCCCGAGAAUUCGUCGCGCUCCCAGGCGAGCCGCCGGGCCAGGCCUCACGCUGGAGCUGGAGGGCCCUGGUGGCCUGCUCCGCCAGUUCGCCUCUGCCUGGACUCCACGCAGACCCUUAUCUUCGGCCAAAGAACCCCUUCUGA